CUUUMCAUGCAAGUCGAACGGUAACAGGGAGCUUGCUCCGCUGACGAGUGGCGAACGGGUGAGUAAUGCAUCGGAACGUGCCGUGUAGUGGGGGAUAACGUAGCGAAAGUUACGCUAAUACCGCAUACGCCCCGAGGGGGAAAGUGGGGGACCGCAAGGCCUCACGCUAUACGAGCGGCCGAUGUCGGAUUAGCUAGUUGGUAGGGUAAAGGCCUACCAAGGCGACGAUCCGUAGCGGGUCUGAGAGGAUGAUCCGCCACACUGGGACUGAGUCACGGCCCAGACUCCUACGGGAGGCAGCAGUGGGGAAUUUUGGACAAUGGGCGCAAGCCUGAUCCAGCCAUGCCGCGUGCGGGAAGAAGGCCUUCGGGUUGUAAACCGCUUUUGUCAGGGAAGAACUCUUCUGGGCUAAUACCUCGGGAGGAUGACGGUACCUGAAGAAUAAGCACCGGCUAACUACGUGCCAGCAGCCGCGGUAAUACGUAGGGUGCAAGCGUUAAUCGGAAUUACUGGGCGUAAAGCGUGCGCAGGCGGUUCUGCAAGACAGAUGUGAAAUCCCCGGGCUUAACCUGGGAACUGCAUUUGUGACUGCAGAGCUGGAGUGCGGCAGAGGGGGAUGGAAUUCCGCGUGUAGCAGUGAAAUGCGUAGAUAUGCGGAGGAACACCGAUGGCGAAGGCAAUCCCCUGGGCCUGCACUGACGCUCAUGCACGAAAGCGUGGGGAGCAAACAGGAUUAGAUACCCUGGUAGUCCACGCCCUAAACGAUGUCAACUGGUUGUUGGAAGGGUUCCCUUUCAGUAACGAAGCUAACGCGUGAAGUUGACCGCCUGGGGAGUACGGCCGCAAGGUUGAACUCAAAGGAAUUGACGGGGACCCGCACAAGCGGUGGAUGAUGUGGUUUAAUUCGAUGCACGCGAAGAC
This 921-nucleotide ribosomal RNA is filed under the name uncultured Zoogloea sp. Its description in RNAcentral is "bacterial SSU rRNA". It matches the Rfam family "Bacterial small subunit ribosomal RNA", at positions 49 to 968 of the family's 1533-position model. Lineage: Bacteria; Pseudomonadati; Pseudomonadota; Betaproteobacteria; Rhodocyclales; Zoogloeaceae. The record is from RNAcentral.